AUGUCCAACAGAUUCCGAGGCUUGGCAGACCUUCCGGAUGGCCUGCUAGACUCUAUCAUUGCCCUACUGGGCUCCUUCCAUGAUCUUCUUGCGUUUGAAGCCACUUGCCGUUCUUGGCGUGCCGUGUUUUCUUCAUGUUCACGCAAAUAUACCUUGGCAGCAUCCUUCUUACCUCUCCUCCAACCCGAUUUCUCUUUGCUCUCUCCACUUCCAGGCCCCUUAAGAAAAUUCAUGGUGCCCACAUGCCCAUGUCAUGUCACUGAUAUAGCCAAUCAAGACACCAGCUACCAGUCCUUUGAGAUUCCAAUAUUAUGGUGUUCUCGUGGAAAUAAUGCCUCACCAAGUCCUAUAGAAAGGUUCCGCUUUAGUGGGGCUUCCUAUGGCCAUCUAAUUUUUUCUAGCAAUAAAUCAUGUGUCGUUUUUUAUGUGUUCACAUGCUUUAGUGUGUCAUCUCUACAACUAUCGGUAUUGGAAAGCACUGGCCUCAUCUAUGGUACGGUCACCGCUCCUCUCUCAUCACCUAACUCACAUCUUAUUAUCGAAGCCGGAUCACAAAAUCUGUUUUGGCGUGUUGGAAGCCAAUCUUGGGUGGGACAUUCUCUUCAUCAUGGACCAAUCAAGCAAAUCGUGAUCUUCCAAGGGAAAGUGUUUGGCAUGGAAUAUGAUCGCAGGAUCUUCAAAGUGGACUUGACACCCUAG
RNAcentral lists this ribosomal RNA (699 nucleotides) under Triticum aestivum (bread wheat). Its description in RNAcentral is "partial small subunit ribosomal RNA". Lineage: Eukaryota; Viridiplantae; Streptophyta; Magnoliopsida; Poales; Poaceae. The record is from RNAcentral.